Molecule: long non-coding RNA, 1987 nt
Filed under: Marmota monax (woodchuck)
Lineage: Eukaryota; Metazoa; Chordata; Mammalia; Rodentia; Sciuridae
Source: RNAcentral
GAAUUCUGUUUUUCCUCCUGGUCAACAGGAGCUUUGUACUGAAAAGGAAAUUUAAAAGUCUAAAAAAUGCACCAAAGUCAAUUUUGGAUUAUUGUCCUUUUCUGCAGUCUUAUUUUCUCUUCAUUCUCCCAGACUCCAGUUGUACAAAAUGCAGCAUCUAUUGUUCAGCCAUCUCCUGCACAUGUGGGACAGCAGGGCUUAUCCAAGCUUCCCUCCCGGCCUGGAGCACAAGGGGAACCUCAAAAUUUGAGAACAUUACAGGUAUGUGAUACAUAGUAGGAUCUUAGUGUUGGAGUACCCUGCCUAUCCUCUUCUGUUUUUUCUUCUCUAGAGAAUCUCUAACUUCUCUAGAGAGGGUUCAUACUUUUUCUAACUGUCCAGCCAUAUAGAAUUAGUUUAUACCAAACAGCCAAGGACUUUCUAGCCACUAAUGAGCAUUUAGAGAGUUGAUAAUUUCAUCUAAGUCUCUAUAGGAUAAAUUUAUCAAGUCUGUCUUACGUUCCAGUGGUUUUAUUCAGUUUUGAAUUAUAGACUGUGUUUUCCCGUUUGCAUUUUAUGGAGCAUUAUACUACCUGUGACUGGUUCUUUUCCUCAUCUUCCCCUUCAGGGUCAUAGUGUCAUCCGUUCAGCGACCAAUACCACCCUUCCACACAUGUUGAUGUCUCAACGUGUUAUCGCACCAAAUCCAGCCCAGCUACAGGGUCAACGGGGGCCGCCUAAGCCUGGCCUUGUACGUACCACAACACCCAAUAUGAAUCCCGCCAUCAAUUAUCAACCGGUAAGAAAGAGCCCUACCUAAUGUGGAAACAGAAAUUUUUUAUUUGCUUUUCUUGUUGAAUGGGCCAAAGGUUUUUAGUUUUUGUACAUAGAGAAACAAGGUUGAUUUAGGUGGAGCUUGAAUAGAAUUCAUUUUCCAAAGUGGAAGCUUUGAGGAGUUAUGAAAAUAGUAGUGGGGAAAAAAAGAUAGCUUAUAUAGCAGAGCUGAAUUAGCGAAAAAUCUGCUUAAGAGAAAGAAAUGGACCUAGGUAAAAAAAAGCACAAGGAAGCAUGACAGAAUCCCAUUUUUUCCUCUUUUGUCAGUUUAGCUCAUAAUCAUCAUCAUCCUUUUUUCCUAUAUGCCAGAGUUCUCUUUCAAUGAAUAAGUUGAAUACUUUGUAUUUUGAGGAAAUGAAGCAGUCCAGACGAGGAUCAGAUAUUAACCUUUGAUAAAAAGCAAGAAUUGGUCUCCCACAUACCAACCGUCACUGAUACAUCAUCUCAAUCUGUUUCAGCAGUCAAGUUCUUCUGUUCCCUGUCAGCGCACAACAUCCUCCGCUAUCUAUAUGAACCUUGCCUCCCAUAUCCAGCCAGGAACCGUGAACAGAGUGUCCUCACCACUUCCUAGCCCCAGCGCCAUGACCGAUGCUGCCAACUCACAGGCUGCAGCCAAAUUGGCCCUUCGCAAACAGCUGGAAAAGACACUCCUGGAGAUCCCACCUCCAAAACCUCCUGCUCCCUUGCUUCACUUCCUGCCUAGUGCAGCCAAUAGUGAGUUCAUCUACAUGGUAGGCUUGGAAGAAGUCGUACAGAGUGUCAUUGACAGCCAAGGUAAGACUAUUUCCUCAGGUCAGUCUCUAUCUAAGCAAGAGGUUGCCAGGCCUGAUUGGCAUAGGCAGAGUAUCACAUAGUACUAUGUAAUGUUAAAUAAUCUUUCCUUACUAUUGCCAAACCACCUACCAUCACUUAUAGAUUGUUUGGAAACAGUAUCCAGAGAGCUUUGUGUGCAUGUAGUGUGUUUGUAUUUUAUAUAUCCUUUUUUUUUCCAUGACCUUUAUUUUACUUAUCUAUUUAUAUGUGAUGCUGAGAAUCGAACCCAGUGCCUCACACAUGCUAGGCAAGUACUCUACCACUGAGCCACAACCCCAGCCCAUUUAUAUAUCUUUUAUAUUUUUUCAGUGUAUUAUUUAGAUCUUGAAAUGGUGCCUAGCUGGACAGGGGUAUAGCUCAG